GCAAUAAGGAAGUGACAAUGUACCAAAAAAACAAAUAAAUUAGGAAAUGACACCACCCAAAAGCUGUAAAGCAAAAGUCUAGGCAUAUAUACCAAGCUCCACAUUCUUCCCAGCUCCCUUUAGCAUAAUUACAACUCUACCCCUGAAAAUCAUCUUUUUUCCUUCUUGCUCUUCUCAAUAUAUCCCGUAAUUUCAUCAUUCUACAAGGGCAUUUCGUUCCACUUUUUACACACUCCCAACAUUUUCAUCACCAAAUUCACCACCUUCUUUCCCAAACAAAAAUUCUCCAUUACAAAAAUCUAUAAUCAUCACACACAUCAUCAAUACGUCAACGUUUUGAUCUUCCAUACACGAUGCCGGAAAUAGAAAGACACCGAACACGUCAUCACCGACCGGCUAAUCCGGUAAGAAACAGAGUACCUUUACGUCUGUUAUUCCGAGUAGCUUCGGUAGCCGGUGGAAUACAAUUCGGGUGGGCCUUACAACUGUCUUUACUGACACCAUACGUACAAGAACUAGGUAUACCACAUGCUUGGGCUAGUAUAAUAUGGUUAUGUGGACCGUUAUCAGGUUUACUGGUUCAGCCAUUAGUAGGUCAUAUGAGUGACAAGUGUACAAGUCGGUUCGGUAGAAGACGUCCGUUUAUUGUAGCAGGAGCAGUUUCGAUCAUGAUUGCUGUGUUGAUUAUUGGUUUCUCAGCUGAUAUUGGAUGGUUAUUAGGUGAUCGAGGUGAAAUCAAAGUAAGAGCUAUAGCUGCCUUUAUUGUAGGGUUUUGGUUACUUGAUGUUGCUAAUAAUAUGACUCAAGGUCCUUGUAGAGCUCUUCUUGCUGAUCUUACACAAAAGGAUCUUAGAAGAACCCGGGUGGCAAAUGCAUACUUUUCUCUAUUUAUGGCCAUUGGUAACAUCCUUGGCUUUGCAACUGGAUCUUACAGUGGCUGGUACAAGACCUUCCCUUUCACCCUCAGUUCUGCGUGCACCAUCAACUGUGCCAAUCUAAAGGCUGCUUUUAUUCUCGAUAUUAUUUUUAUCGCAACAACUACUUGUAUCAGCAUAUCAGCAGCCAAUGAGCAGCCUCUAGAUCCCAGUCGUGGUUCCUCUCAUACUGGAGAAGAGAUUGCCGAAUCAAGCCAUGGUCAAGAAGAAGCUUUUCUCUGGGAGUUGUUUGGUAUUUUCAAAUAUUUCCCAGGUGUUGUUUGGGUCAUCCUACUUGUUACUGCCCUGACAUGGAUUGGAUGGUUUCCGUUUCUUUUGUUCGAUACCGACUGGUUUGGUCGAGAAAUUUAUGGUGGUGAACCAAAUGAUGGAAAGAAUUAUAGUGCAGGAGUCCGAAUGGGUUCGUUGGGUCUAAUGUUGAAUUCCGUGCUUCUUGGAGUAACUUCAUUGUUCAUGGAGAAGCUCUGUCGAAAAUGGGGGGCUGGUUUCACAUGGGGAGUUUCAAAUGUUGUCAUGUCCCUCUGCUUUAUAGCCAUGCUUAUAAUUACUGCUGUUAGGAGUAACAUAGACAUUGGCCAGGGUCUUCCCCCAGAUGGCAUUGUUAUUGCGGCGCUAGUUGUAUUUGCUAUUCUUGGGAUCCCACUAUCUAUAACAUACAGUGUUCCAUAUGCUUUAGUAUCCUCAAGGAUUGAAGCUCUUGGGCUUGGACAAGGCUUGUCAAUGGGCGUUCUGAACCUGGCAAUUGUGUUCCCACAGAUCGUGGUUUCACUUGGAAGUGGACCAUGGGAUGAGCUAUUUGGUGGUGGCAACUCGCCAGCCUUUUUUGUGGCUGCACUUUCAGCAUUUGCUGGUGGACUUAUAGCCAUCUUGGCGAUUCCUCGAACACGGGUUGAGAAGUCCAAGAUCCUUGUAUGAGGUUAUUUUGUCGUCUUGGAAGAUGAGAUUGAUGGUGCUGGUAAUUCUCCACAUUGGCCUCGGCAGGAGCGUAAUUUUCUGAGGUGGCCGUUUUGACUAUUCCUCUAUUUGAAUGCUGAAGAGUUUGCGGAGAUAUUCCAUCUUAUCUGCACAAACACAGCAGAGGACUCAAGUUUGCCUCUCUUUUAUGUCUGAUGGGCUAUUUGGAAUCAAGGUUGUGCUUUUGUUAGCCAAUCAUGGGCAUGGAGUCUGUGCCCUAGCUAAUUAUCCUGAAAAAGAAGUGAAGUUGAAGCUAGGGAUCCUUAUUUGUCAUUAGGCUUUAUUCUUUGACCAAAAAUAUCAUGUUUUUAGCAAGCUAACUUGCUUAGGUGACAUAUCAAGGCGCCCCCGAAUCUCAUGCAAUUUGUGCAUGAUAUUGGUGAAUUCAUUUAAUAUAUUGUGAUUGAGGCUAAACAGUUCCGGCAGAUUGAGACCUUGAUUAAGACAUAAUUUUUCAUUAUGAUUUUUUUUUGUGUAUGUGAAGCUUGGAUGAUAAAGAAAGGUU
This is an RNA transcript of Lycium ferocissimum, 2394 nucleotides long. It is a transcript of the gene named sucrose transport protein SUC4, with no coding region annotated. NCBI's taxonomy places the organism in Eukaryota, Viridiplantae, Streptophyta, Magnoliopsida, Solanales, Solanaceae. The transcript has 7 exons. The record is from RefSeq and is a predicted model, not a curated record.